AAGCAUUAUAUGUGAUAAAAUAAUCUACCAUGAGAAAGAAAUCAGCCCUCAACAAAAUAAGUAAGUAGCCAAGAACUCUUAAGAAAUUCUAGGGAAGAAAUGAAACUCCAUGUAGGUGCUUGAUGCUUGACACAACUUGGCAUGAGCACGGCACACGCUGGCAUGCAUAUUUCUUCUCUUGGCAUGUGGAGAGUGGUGG
Molecule: long non-coding RNA, 199 nt
Filed under: Elaeis guineensis (African oil palm)
Lineage: Eukaryota; Viridiplantae; Streptophyta; Magnoliopsida; Arecales; Arecaceae
Description: long non-coding RNA (EGUI_LNC061770)
Source: RNAcentral